This 775-nucleotide ribosomal RNA is filed under the name uncultured Neocallimastigales. RNAcentral's name for it is "partial large subunit ribosomal RNA". It matches the Rfam family "Eukaryotic large subunit ribosomal RNA", at positions 24 to 644 of the family's 3401-position model. Lineage: Eukaryota; Fungi; Neocallimastigomycota; Neocallimastigomycetes; Neocallimastigales. The record is from RNAcentral.
UAUGUGAUCGUCUCUCGCAUAUCAAUAAGCGGAGGAAAAGAAACUAACAAGGAUUCCCCUAGUAACGGCGAGUGAAGCGGGAAGAGCUCAAAUUUGAAAUCUUAAAGGUUCUACCUUGACGAAUUGUAGUUUAAAGAAGUGUUUUCUGUUGAAGUUUUGGUAAAAGUUCUUUGGAAUAGGACAUCAUAGAGGGUGAGAAUCCCGUAUUUGACCAUUACUUUCAGCUGUGUGAUACACUUUCAAAGAGUCGGAUUGUUUGGGAAUGCAGUCCAAAAUGGGUGGUAAAUUUCAUCUAAAGCUAAAUAUUGGCGAGAGACCGAUAGCGAACAAGUACCGUGAGGGAAAGAUGAAAAGAACUUUGAAAAGAGAGUUAAACAGGUACGUGAAAUUGUCAAAAGGGAAGCGUUUGACACCAGUGUUGUUUUUCUGAAAUCAAUUAAAGAACUGUUUAUGCUAAGCUGUUUAGACUUUAUCAGCUAAUCUGUUUAGUUUUGAGCUUUUCUUUAAUGCACUUUUCAGUUAACAAGUCAACAUCAAUUUCUUUUGCUGUAAAAAAGCUUGAGGAAGGUGGCUUGAGAUUCGUCUUAAGUGUUUAUAGCCUCUUGCCUAUGCAGUCGGAGAGAUUGAGGUCUGCAGCGUAGAUCCUUCGGGGCUAAAUGCAUUUGUGCUAAGUUAUAGCAUUUUAUAGACAACUUGUUGACUAUGAUUUGUCUUGUAGCUUACUCGCUUAUGUUAUUUUACCUACGCUUAGGAUGUUGACUGAUAUGUAGUCGUA